Molecule: microRNA, 22 nt
Filed under: Echinococcus multilocularis
Lineage: Eukaryota; Metazoa; Platyhelminthes; Cestoda; Cyclophyllidea; Taeniidae
Description: emu-miR-1992-3p
Source: miRBase by way of RNAcentral
UCAGCAGUUGUACCAUUGAAAU